GCCUCAAGCAGCUGGUGGCCUACGUGCAGCUCAACAUGCCAGGCUCAGACCUGGAACGCCGUGCCCACCUUCUCCUGGCCCAGCUGGAGCACUCGGAACCCAUUGAGGCAGAGCCUGAGGCUCUGUCACCAGUGCCAGCUCUAAAACCAACUCCAGAGCUCGAGCUAGCUCUAACACCAGCUCGAGCACCCAGCCCAGUGCCGGCUCCAGCCCCAGAGCCAGAGCCAGCUCCAACACCAGCUCCAGGUUCAGAGCUAGAAGUAGCUCCAGCACCAACUCCGGAGCUCCAGCAGGCUCCAGAGCCAGCUGUGGGACUAGAAUCGGCUCCAGCGCCAGCUCCGGAACUAGAGCCAGCUCCAGAACAGGAUCCAGCUCCCUCACAAACUCUAGAGCUGGAGCCAGCUCCAGCGCCAGUUCCAUCAUUACAGCCUUCCUGGCCUUCACCUGUGGUUGCAGAGAACGGGCUGAGUGAGGAGAAGCCUCACCUCUUGGUGUUCCCUCCUGAUCUGGUGGCAGAGCAGUUUACACUGAUGGAUGCGGAACUGUUCAAGAAGGUGGUGCCCUACCACUGCCUGGGCUCCAUCUGGUCCCAGCGGGACAAGAAGGGCAAGGAGCACCUGGCGCCCACCAUCCGCGCCACUGUCACCCAGUUCAACAGUGUGGCCAACUGUGUCAUCACCACCUGCCUCGGAAACCGAAGCACGAAAGCCCCAGACAGGGCCAGGGUGGUGGAGCACUGGAUCGAGGUGGCCAGGGAGUGCCGGAUCCUCAAGAACUUCUCGUCACUGUAUGCCAUCCUCUCUGCCCUGCAGAGCAACUCCAUCCACCGUCUGAAGAAGACGUGGGAAGACGUUUCCAGGGACAGUUUCCGGAUCUUUCAGAAGCUGUCAGAGAUCUUCUCAGAUGAGAACAACUACUCAUUGAGCCGGGAGCUGCUCAUCAAGGAGGGCACCUCCAAGUUUGCCACCCUGGAGAUGAACCCCAAGAGAGCCCAGAAACGGCCGAAGGAGACGGGCAUCAUCCAGGGCACCGUUCCCUACCUGGGCACGUUCCUCACCGACCUGGUGAUGCUGGACACUGCCAUGAAGGACUAUCUGUAUGGCAGACUCAUCAACUUCGAGAAGAGGAGGAAGGAGUUCGAGGUGAUCGCCCAGAUCAAGCUGCUGCAGUCGGCCUGCAACAACUACAGCAUCACGCCAGAUGAGCAAUUUGGGGCCUGGUUCCGGGCCGUGGAGCGGCUCAGCGAGACUGAGAGCUACAACCUGUCGUGCGAGCUGGAGCCCCCAUCCGAGUCAGCCAGCAACACCCUCAGGACCAAGAAGAACACAGCCAUUGUCAAGCGCUGGAGCGACCGCCAGGCCCCCAGCACUGAGCUCAGUACCAGUGGCAGCUCCCACUCCAAGUCCUGUGACCAGCUCAGGUGUGGCCCCUACCUCAGCAGCGGGGACAUCGCUGACGCGCUCAGCGUGCACUCGGCCGGCUCCUCUAGCUCCGACGUGGAGGAGAUCAACAUCAGCUUCGUCCCGGAGUCUCCUGACGGCCAGGAAAAGAAGUUCUGGGAAUCGGCCUCACAGUCGUCCCCGGAGACCUCCGGCAUCAGCUCUGCCUCCAGCAGCACCUCGUCCUCCUCAGCCUCCACCACGCCCGUGGCUGCCACACGCACCCACAAGCGCUCCGUCUCAGGGCUCUGCAACUCCAGCUCCGCGCUGCCGCUCUACAACCAGCAGGUGGGCGACUGCUGUAUCAUCCGCGUCAGCCUGGACGUGGACAACGGCAACAUGUACAAGAGCAUCCUGGUAAGCCGGCGGGGGUGGCCUGGGUCCCUCCCUCCACUGGCGGCAAAUGCACCCUGGACACAGUGCACCAUCCCUGCCCUCCCGGGGUCUACCUUGUAGUUGGCGGGGAAGGACAGAUGUCAGCCAGGUACAGAAAUGAAGAAGGUAGUGAUCAGGGACAAGGCUGGCCUGAGGGCACAGGGGGAGGAAAGGAGCAGCCGUGCAAAGCCCCCAGGAGCUGAAGGGGCAGUGCUGUAGGGGAGAUGAGGUCAGGGAAGUAUCCAGGGCCUGGCCACAUAGGCCCUGAGCCCUGCCAGGACCUCGACUUUCUCGGGGAGGAAGACAGGAGCAAUGAUGGCUGGCUUCUCUGUCUGGCGUGGGCUGGUACCAGAGCCGCAGGGGUGUUGGUUAGGAGGCCGCUGUGGCAACCAGGCUGGGAGCCCUGGAAGGGGCCAGCAGGGUCAGAGUCUAGACAGGAUUUGGAGACAGCAGAUGGGAAUUGCUCACAGAAUGGGUUUGCCUGGGGGCUCUUUCUUCAUCCUCCAGGUGUCCUGCGACAGAUGAACCAUUUGUAACCCCCACCCUCUGUACCCCAGCCCUGGGUCAGGUGCCCCAUUAUUCACACACGCUCCUGACCCCUCAUUGCCAGGAGCUAGCAUGGUUGUCAUUAAGCAGUCACCUGUGGCCCUAUGUCUGAGUUCCGCCUGUGCUCUGGCCCUCAGGGUCAAGGUAGUAGGGGCCUGGCCUAUGCUGACCACACUGAGCAUCCUGGCCGGCCCCUCCUUUCUCACCUCCAGGGCCUGGACUAGGGACUAUCUGUUCCCCAGGCUCAGUGAUGCUGUUAUCCUGGAGGGGCAAGUGCUUCUCAAGGAAAUGUGGGAGGAGGGAACAGGCUCUUAUAGGAGAAGCAGGGUAGGCACUGCUGGGACAGACCCCUCCUCAUUCCAUGGAGGCCUCACAUGGGGAACAGGAGAAGGACGGAGGCCUCACUUGGGGAGUAGGAGAAUGUGACAAGGCCCUCUCCAGACCCAGCACCUGGCCAGAGGCUGUGAGUGCCUGUGCUCGGUGCUGAGGGGACUCCAGAGGGUCCUUGGCCACUGCACUCUGGGGGAGCUGCUCCAGGGUCUUUUCCCUGAUGGUCCAUCCCCUGCCGCGAUGCAGGUGACCAGCCAAGAUAAGGCUCCGGCUGUAAUCCGCAAGGCCAUGGACAAACACAACCUGGAGGAGGAGGAGCCGGAGGACUAUGAGCUGCUGCAGAUUCUCUCAGAUGACCGGAGUAAGUCAGAAGACCAGAGGGCGAUGGCAGAGGGGGCAGGUCCACACCACUCCCCAGCCCCAGGUUGGAAGCCUUUGGCCCCAGAAAAUUCACCAGCAGAGUGUGGGUAGACACUGUGGACAGGGCAGCCCUGGCUGCCCCCAUUGUCUGCUUGCUGUCCCCAGCAACCACUGGACCUCCCCAGUGUGUGCCCUUCCCUAGGCGUGAACAGGCAGUUCAAAGCUCACAUCAGUGAGGAGCAAAGAGAAAAGGCAUUUUCACUGGGACAGGUUAGCCACGUGGCCCACUGGAAGGGAUGCUUUCUGGCUAAGACAAGAAAACAUGUGCUCUACAAAGAAUGGUGACAGCUGUGGACCAAAGUGUCAAGUGUUAAAAUCCAUGAGUGUGUGAUUCUAAAAGCAGAACAGGCUACUAGGAGGCCCACUCAGUAUUCUAGAAACUGGGAAAGUGUCAAGAACCAGUGCAGGCUCAGAGUGGGGUAUCCUGGGCCUGGAGACGCUGGGCAAGCUCCUUAAGCCCUCUGUGCUUGUCUUCUCAUCCCCCAAAUGGAAAUGAAAGUAGCCAGUGUGUUCAUCAUAUAUAUAAAAAUCUAUAUGUAUGUAUAUAUGUGUAUAUAUAUGCAUGUAUAUGUGUGUGUAUAUAUAUGCAUGUAUAUAUAAAGCAUCUGUGUGCACCAUAAAAGUUAACUAUAAAUACUAUCAUCGCUGUUUUCUUUCCAGUGAGCUCCCACCAUUAGCCCAGACAGUAAGCAAUGACUCCUGUGAUCCCUAGAAGUUACAGUCUAAAUCCUCUGGCAGCUUCUUGCACCAUUUCGGUUAGGUGGGCAGGGUAGGCGGGACCCCCAUCUUACAGAAAAGGAAGACUGAGGCCUAGAGAGGUUAAAGAUGACGAAAAGCCACACGAUGUCGGCAGGAGCACAAAUCGAGCCCAGCUCUGGUUUAUAGCAGGCUGUGGGCCAGAGGAGAUGGUGGGAAAUGGAGCCAAAAGGAAGUGCUUGCCGGGUGCCAGGGUUCAAGGAGUGCAGGCCUCCCUGGAACGGGCGCCAGAGCCCUGGGGCAGGCCUGUCCUUUCCUGGUCCUUGGAUCCCUUGUCCUGAGUAGGGCAGGAUUCUGGGAGGUGACCUGGAUUCUAGAAAGCCUGUUCCAGGUGGGCAGCCAGCACUGCAGUAUGGGCAGGACGGGGUGACCCUCUGCCAGCUCAGGCCAAGCCGGGGGGUUCUGGAGUCAGUCCCUGUUUAAACAAGAGUCAUCAGGUUUUGUGAGGACCUCAGCAGAGUCUGUCCUCAGGCAGGAGUCAUUGAGAGGGGUCCUUGGAGUCCUGGAGCUGUAUUGGAGGGGAUCUGAGGUCUGUGGCUCAAGACAGUCCUUGUAUGGGCUCUCAAGCGGUAGGGGUAUCCUGCAGGGCCCCCAGGAGCAUCACUGAUCACCCCUCUGCCCCUCCCCACCAGAGCUGAAGAUCCCUGAAAACGCCAACGUCUUCUAUGCCAUGAACUCUACCGCCAACUAUGACUUUGUCCUGAAGAAGCGGACCUUCACCAAGGGAGUGAAGGUCAAGCACGGAGCCAGCUCCACCCUCCCUCGCAUGAAGCAGAAAGGACUCAAGAUUGCCAAGGGCAUCUUCUGAGGGCAUCCUCCCAGGGUCUGGCUGGCUGGUAGCCAAGCACUUAUGGACCAGAGUGGCCCAGGCCAGCUGGGCGCCUUCCUCCCACCUGCCAGCCCAGGGUACCCCAGACUCCAGUUUCAUCCUGAACCUCUCCCGCUGCUGGGAUUGAUGCCUGCCAUUGGUCAGGCUGACCUGGCCUCCCGUGGACCACUCGCUGCCUUAGGUGCCUUCUGCUCUCUGGAACCAGAGGACUAGCUGACUUUUGCCAAGGAGCAGUGCCAACGGGCAUGGCAUGGUGCCCUGCCUGCCCCCGGGCGCCACCUCUGUACACUUCCCUGACACCUUCCCAGGUGUGGGUCACUGCCACCUGUGCCCAUGGGCACCCCAGAGCACCCACUGUGACCACUGCAGUUCUCUCAUGCCCACAGGCACUGGCCUGUGACCUUCGCAGGGGUCCCGGCCCCUCCCACCACUCUAGCCUUUCUCAGGCUGCACCAAAGAUUCCAUCAUCAGGGCCAACUGAGAGUGAGGGAGUCUCACCCACCGCUUACCCCAGCCCUCCCCUGGGAGCAGAGAGAGAAACCCUCUUCAUGGACCGACUCUGCACCCGGUGAGUGAGGACAGUCCCAGCUGAGUCCCAUCGAUGUUGAAUCUCAUGCCACUGCAAGUGCCAUUCACCACUGCGUCCUGGGCUUUACGAGACCAUGCAAGACGGGGGUUAGUGAGGAAGGAGGAUUUGGGGUGGGGGUGGGGUGAUUGAAUAUUUGUAUAAAAAGCAAAAAGAAAAAAAAAAUGUUUACUGAUUGGGGAGGGGCAAUAUUUAUUUGUUGUAAAUAGCAAAUGCUAGACUUGAAUAUUAUAUUAAAAUCCUGUUUCUACUAUA
RNAcentral lists this small RNA (5536 nucleotides) under Pan troglodytes (chimpanzee). RNAcentral's name for it is "retained intron". The record is from RNAcentral. Lineage: Eukaryota; Metazoa; Chordata; Mammalia; Primates; Hominidae.